AGACGCCGUUCAACAUCACACAUUUUAAUGAAUCUGGUAACAUGUGAUGAAGGAUUUGCUAAGCUAGUAACACGAUGUUUUAAGUUCUACCCAAUACCAAACCUGUGCUCCCGACGAUACCUAUCAGAACAGCACAGGUUACCAAUUUCCCUGGUGUUGGCGCAGUCUUCGCGCACCCCGGCUUCGGUCGGGGUCAUUUUUUUU
Molecule: non-coding RNA, 204 nt
Filed under: Erwinia amylovora
Lineage: Bacteria; Pseudomonadati; Pseudomonadota; Gammaproteobacteria; Enterobacterales; Erwiniaceae
Source: RNAcentral